RNAcentral lists this ribosomal RNA (418 nucleotides) under Patescibacteria group bacterium. Its description in RNAcentral is "bacterial SSU rRNA". It matches the Rfam family "Bacterial small subunit ribosomal RNA", at positions 1 to 450 of the family's 1533-position model. The record is from RNAcentral.
UCUAAUAAGAGUUUGAUCCUGGCUCAGGAUGAACGCUGGCGGCGUGCCUAAGACAUGCAAGUCGAGUGGGUUUAGACCCACGGCGAACGGGUGAGUAAUACCUAGGAACGUUCUUUAAGUUGAGGAUAUUCCGUCGAAAGACGGUGCAAUACUCAAUGUUGUCGCAAGACAAAAGUCGCAAGACGCUUAAAGUGCGGCCUGGGCACCAUCAGCUAGUUGGUAAGGUAAUGGCUUACCAAGGCUAUGACGGUUAGGGGCCCCGAGAGGGGAAACCCCCACACUGGGACUGCGACACGGCCCAGACUCCUACGGGAGGCAGCAGUUUGGAAUUUUGCACAAUGGGCGAAAGCCUGAUGCAGCGACGCCGCGUGGACGAUGAAGGCCUUCGGGUUGUAAAGUCCUUUUGCUCGGGAACAAU